Molecule: non-coding RNA, 86 nt
Organism: Hypoxylon sp. CI-4A
Lineage: Eukaryota; Fungi; Ascomycota; Sordariomycetes; Xylariales; Hypoxylaceae
Source: the annotation of a GenBank genome assembly
GCCCGACUAGCUCACCGGUAGAGCGCCUCACUAGUAUCAACACUCCUGACAUGAGGAGGCAACAGGUUCGACUCCUGUGUUGGGCA